AGUGAACGCUGGCGGUAGGCCUAACACAUGCAAGUCGAACGGCAGCACAGUAGGAGUUUGCUCUUACGGGGGGCGAGUGGCGGGGGGGUGAGGUAUAUAGCGGACUCUACUUUUUCGGGGGGGAUAACGUAGGGAAACUUACGCCAAUAUCGCAUACGCCCCACGGGUGAAAGCAGGGGAUCUUCGGACCUUGCGCGAUGGUAUGCGCCGAUGGCGGAUUAGCUAGUUGGCGGGGUAAAGGCCCACCAAGGCGGCGAUCCGUAGCUGGUCUGAGAGGAUGAUCAGCCCCCCUGGAACUGAGACACCGUCCCGGCUCCUAAGGGAGGCAGCAGUGGGGAAUAUUGGACAAUGGGCGGAAGCCUGGUCCCGCCCUACCGCGUGGGUGAAAGAGGCCUUCCGGUUGGAAAGCCCCUUUGUUGGGAAAAAAAAGCAGCCGGUUAAUACCCCGCUGUUGUGACGGUAACCAAAAAAUAAGCACCGGCUAACUUCGUG
RNAcentral lists this ribosomal RNA (492 nucleotides) under uncultured bacterium. RNAcentral's name for it is "partial 16S ribosomal RNA". It matches the Rfam family "Bacterial small subunit ribosomal RNA", at positions 29 to 507 of the family's 1533-position model. The record is from RNAcentral.